Molecule: long non-coding RNA, 1934 nt
Organism: Cephus cinctus (wheat stem sawfly)
Lineage: Eukaryota; Metazoa; Arthropoda; Insecta; Hymenoptera; Cephidae
Exons: 3
Source: RefSeq, a predicted model, not a curated record
UGGAUGCUGCAUAACCCCAGGAUGCACUCUGGCUGAUUACCAUUUGCAUAGAGAAUCGAGUCGAGCCAAUUGGAAUAAUCAACGUGGCUACGAGCAGAAGUCAUACCAGUGUUACAUAAAGGGCAUAUGGAAGCGCGUUAUCGGGGCAAUACAAUUUUGUAUCGGACUAAGAGAUAAUCGAGAUUCAAAAAUUCGCCAAGACGUUAUUGUGCAAAAUAUAUUUUUUAAGGUCACAGGGUGCGCGUGCCCAAUUUUCAAACGGUUGGUCAAUUCGCGAAACUGGCCCAAGGCAGCUUGCGUGGAAGUAAGCCGAAGACGGAGUACGGUCCGUUGGUUUGGUCUGGUUCAAACCCGAGCUCUACCGUUACGCGUACCAGCAAUAAAUAACACGUUGAGCAAGAUCCACUGGUAUACAGUUGAUAUGGACGAUAAAGCAAUGCAGGAUUGAAAUAACGAAAAUAAUUUAUCACCGAUUCCAAGAGUAUGCACAAAUUUUGCCAUGCUUUACGUCUAGGCCUAUUCGGACCAACGGCACUACCUGAAGUUAGUCGUAUGAUCGUCCACGGGAGAGCCAACUUCAGUCGGUACGUCUGAACUGAGUAAUCUCGUAUGUUUUUCUGUCCGAUAGACAAAGAUGGCCGCUCACGUUGAAUCAACCAGCAGAAGAAUGCCCGAUGAAAUUUUUAUCUUUGACUUCAAAAACCUGCCGCUUUAUGAUAGAUGCGCGAGUCUAUCCAUUCGGUCAUUUACCUAUCGCUGUUAAAUCCAUAUGGAUGGAUAAUAUGAAUUUUUUUUUAAUAACAUAUUUUCCUCACACGCAGCUUUUCUCCCGCGAUACCGUACAUUCGUUUAUGGACAUACUGAUAUAUCGUGUGUCUAUUUAUUUUUGACUUUUUUUUUUCGUAUUUUUUAUCGCAGGACAUUUGGAUUCUCGUCUGCUUGAAAUUUCUUAACAGAUACAAGAGAAAGAAGCUUACGCCACUGGUUGGACGAUAAGGUCUCGAAGAUGUUGUCGUAGAUAGGAGUCAGGCGUAUCUUUAUUACCCCUCACGAGCUAGGUUGCUCAAGUUGAUGUUAAUUGCCAUUUUAUCUUACUCAGACAUGCAAUAUUUCGAAAAACUAAUCCGCACGAACUUUACGGUCGUUGGGCCUGAGCGACGAAGACGAGGGUCGGGUGCGGUGAGGCAGGCGGAUAGAGGAAAAUUUUGGUGUCUUAAACGUAUGUGGGAACGAUUACGUUUUUUUCGAAAUCUCUUGAUUACCUGGUUCCCAGCAUUGCGUGGCGCAAGUCGAUUGACGUAUAUGGAUUAAGGAACAAAGAGGAGGACUAGGCAUUUACGUAAGUUCAAUUAGUGCCCAAUUAAGCAAAAGCCGUAAGUACAUAUUUAGGUAGAUCAAAAAGUUAAAUUCUUAUUAAAGUCGUUUACAAAAUUUUUGUCACGUUCUUUUACAUCUGCUUCACGAACUAUGAACGAUCUAGAGUAUUUACAAUAUUUAAAUAUAAACAAAAUUUUAGGGAUCAAAGUCACAAAUUUGUUGCACUACUAAUCGAUAAUACGUAUCAAAAAUCAAUAUCUCUCAGCCAAUGUCCACCGGACGAAAGUAAUGAAUACGAUACAAAAAUUUUUAAAUUUGCCUGUAUACCCAUUUUCUACAAUAAGAUCGAAUUGAAUUUUCAUCAAAAGACACCAACCUCAGGACCAAUAAACGUCAGCCUCCAAAUUUAAAUCCCCAAAAAAAAACGCAACCCUCUGUAUCCCCAUUUCAUCCCCAUGUCACAUUAAGAGAUCGCAAAAUCAAUCACGACCCCCGAUGCCAAGUCAGUCGAAGAGAAACAAAGAGCAGGAAAAAAAAUUGUUUUUUAUGAACGAAAAAUAUAACCUAAAAAUUGUUACGUCGUAAAGACAAAAUAGUUUGCACCCUACCUCAUCCAC